Molecule: transfer RNA, 74 nt
Filed under: Mycobacterium phage Phabba
Lineage: Duplodnaviria; Heunggongvirae; Uroviricota; Caudoviricetes
Description: tRNA-Gln
Rfam family: tRNA
About the family: Transfer RNA (tRNA) molecules are approximately 80 nucleotides in length.
Source: RNAcentral
UGCGGAGCGGUCUGUUGGCAGGCCAGUGGGCCUUUGACCCCCACGUCCGUAGGUUCGAUUCCUGCCUCCGCAGC